Zea mays is the source of this 510-nucleotide long non-coding RNA. RefSeq lists it as uncharacterized. NCBI's taxonomy places the organism in Eukaryota, Viridiplantae, Streptophyta, Magnoliopsida, Poales, Poaceae. The record is from RefSeq and is a predicted model, not a curated record. The transcript is spliced from 3 exons.
GUUCGUCCCAAUCCCGCAGCGCCGCACUCAGCCCGACCUUCUCGCUCGUGUCUGGCGCACUCAGCCACAGCUAGCCUACCACCCGACCACAGCCGCCGGCCUGCUCCCAACCCCAAGUCCAGGAUCCAUCUCCGGAUCCAUCUCGGCCUCAUCGCGUGUAGGCUCUCCCCCUCCUCCGCACUCCGUCCGUCUCUCAUCACCAUUCCGCCGCCGCCCCACCUCUCGCCGCCGCCUCCGAACCCGCCACGGCGCGGCGGAGAUCCAACCGGACGGAUCUGGAUCGACCUACUCCGACACCGCUUUGGGAAGAUAGAUAGAUAACAAGGCUGCUGUGCUUGCUGUCUGUUGGGAAGUGGAGGAAGCUCAAUAAGUUGAUAUCCGCCUCGAGCUCGAGGGAACCGGUGGGCAGGAUGUGGCCUACAUUGCUGGAUCUGCUGCUACAUUGGUGGUGCCACUGAUCUGGUACCUUGGUGAUGAAAAAAAUCUAUGCUGGUAGUAGCUAGGUAGGGU